UCUGAAUCUGCGUACGGCUCCGCAAACCAGUUGUAAACUAUAGCAAGCAAGCUCAGGGCUGGCCUUCACUGGCCGGCUCGGGGCGAUAUGGAUAACCCUGGUAAUUCUGAGGCUAAUACAAGAGUGUAAACCUUGGAGGACCGGCUUCGGCUGGGAAUCUGGGGGAUGUGCGAUUGCAGGCUUGGUAACACCGGGAAAGGGCGCACGUUCAGAUCACGCUAAAAAGGUCGGGCUCCUUCGGGGGCCUGCCCCAGUGACUCUUGCUGUGUGCUUCUGACCUAUCAACUAGACGGCAGCGUAAGGGACAUGCUAUGGU
RNAcentral lists this ribosomal RNA (316 nucleotides) under Lamproderma sauteri. Its description in RNAcentral is "bacterial SSU rRNA". It matches the Rfam family "Eukaryotic small subunit ribosomal RNA", at positions 80 to 350 of the family's 1831-position model. Lineage: Eukaryota; Evosea; Eumycetozoa; Stemonitida; Stemonitidae. The record is from RNAcentral. RNAcentral also lists the same sequence under 1 other name.